RNAcentral lists this transfer RNA (71 nucleotides) under Cavia porcellus (domestic guinea pig). It matches the Rfam family "tRNA". Rfam says of the family: Transfer RNA (tRNA) molecules are approximately 80 nucleotides in length. The record is from Rfam by way of RNAcentral. Lineage: Eukaryota; Metazoa; Chordata; Mammalia; Rodentia; Caviidae.
CGGGGUUUAGCUCAGUGGUGUGAGCACCUGCCUGGCAAGCAUGAGAUGGUGAGUUCAAUCUCCAGUACCAA